CAGGUUGUAGUCUAAUUGGUAGGGCACUCGCUUUGGGUGCGAGAGUGUGCGGGUUCAAGUCCAGCCAUCCUGA
RNAcentral lists this transfer RNA (73 nucleotides) under Mycobacterium tuberculosis. Its description in RNAcentral is "tRNA-Pro(tgg)". It matches the Rfam family "tRNA". Rfam says of the family: Transfer RNA (tRNA) molecules are approximately 80 nucleotides in length. Their secondary structure includes four short double-helical elements and three loops (D, anti-codon, and T loops). RNAcentral also lists the same sequence under 5 other names. Lineage: Bacteria; Bacillati; Actinomycetota; Actinomycetes; Mycobacteriales; Mycobacteriaceae. The record is from RNAcentral.